GACGUAGGGCGCGAGCGUUGUCCGGAUUUAUUGGGCGUAAAGAGCUCGUAGGCGGCUUGUCGCGUCGACUGUGAAAACCCGCGGCUCAACUGCGGGCCUGCAGCCGAUACGGGCAGGCUAGAGUUCGGUAGGGGAGACUGGAAUUCCUGGUGUAGCGGUGAAAUGCGCAGAUAUCAGGAGGAACACCGGUGGCGAAGGCGGCUUUCUGGACAGAUACCGACGCUGAGGCACGAAAGCUAGGGGAGCAAACAGG
RNAcentral lists this ribosomal RNA (253 nucleotides) under uncultured bacterium. RNAcentral describes it as "partial 16S ribosomal RNA". It matches the Rfam family "Bacterial small subunit ribosomal RNA", at positions 524 to 776 of the family's 1533-position model. The record is from RNAcentral.